RNAcentral lists this ribosomal RNA (423 nucleotides) under uncultured bacterium. Its description in RNAcentral is "bacterial SSU rRNA". It matches the Rfam family "Bacterial small subunit ribosomal RNA", at positions 28 to 433 of the family's 1533-position model. The record is from RNAcentral.
GACGAACGCUGGCGGCGUGCCUAACACAUGCAAGUCGAACGGGACUUAGUGGAAUGUGGCUUCGGCCAAAGGAAGCUAAGUUUAGUGGCGAACGGGUGAGUAACGCGUGAGAAACCUGCCUUUCAGUGGGGGACAACAGUUGGAAACGACUGCUAAUACCGCAUAAUGUCAUUUAGGGGCAUCCCUUAAUGACCAAAGAUUUAUUGCUGAAAGAUGGUCUCGCGUCUGAUUAGCUAGAUGGCGGGGUAACGGCCCACCAUGGCGACGAUCAGUAGCCGGUCUGAGAGGAUGAACGGCCACAUUGGGACUGAGAUACGGCCCAGACUCCUACGGGAGGCAGCAGUGAGGGAAUAUUGGUCAAUGGUCUGACGACUGAACCAGCCAUGCCGCGUGAAGGUGACGGCCCUAUGGGUCUUAAACUUC